UACGUAGGGGGCAAGCGUUGUCCGGAAUCAUUGGGCGUAAAGGGCGCGUAGGUGGCGCCGCAAGUCCAUGGUGAAAGCUCGAUGCUCAACAUCGAGUCGGCCACGGAGACUGCGGGGCUCGAGCACUGUAGGGGCAGAUGGAAUUCCGGGUGUAGCGGUGGAAUGCGUAGAGAUCCGGAAGAACACCGGUGGCGAAGGCGGUCUGCUGGGCAGUUGCUGACACUGAGGCGCGACAGCGUGGGGAGCAAACAGG
This 253-nucleotide ribosomal RNA is filed under the name uncultured bacterium. RNAcentral's name for it is "partial 16S ribosomal RNA". It matches the Rfam family "Bacterial small subunit ribosomal RNA", at positions 524 to 776 of the family's 1533-position model. The record is from RNAcentral.